RNAcentral lists this ribosomal RNA (406 nucleotides) under uncultured bacterium. RNAcentral describes it as "partial 16S ribosomal RNA". It matches the Rfam family "Bacterial small subunit ribosomal RNA", at positions 30 to 526 of the family's 1533-position model. The record is from RNAcentral.
AUUGAACGCUGGCGGCAGGCCUAACACAUGCAAGUCGAGCGAGCGGCGGACGGGUGAGUAAUGUCUGGGGAUCUGCCUGAUGGAGGGGGAUAACUACUGGAAACGGUAGCUAAUACCGCAUACUAUCAGAUGUGCCCAGAUGGGAUUAGCUAGUAGGUGGGGUAAUGGCUCACCUAGGCGACGAUCCCUAGCUGGUCUGAGAGGAUGACCAGCCACACUGGAACUGAGACACGGUCCAGACUCCGACGGGAGGCAGCAGUGGGGAAUAUUGCACAAUGGGCGCAAGCCUGAUGCAGCCAGGCCGCGUGUAGGAAGAAGGCCUUCGGGUUGUAAAGUACUUUCAGUGGGGAGGCGUUACCGGCAGAAGAAGCACCGGCUAACUCCGUGCCAGCAGCCGCGGUAAUAC